This 371-nucleotide unclassified non-coding RNA is filed under the name fungal sp. RNAcentral's name for it is "partial internal transcribed spacer region". The stretch from base 1 to 46 matches the Rfam family "Eukaryotic small subunit ribosomal RNA", at positions 1786 to 1831 of the family's 1831-position model. Lineage: Eukaryota; Fungi. The record is from RNAcentral.
AAGUCGUAACAAGGUUUCCGUAGGUGAACCUGCGGAAGGAUCAUUAUCACGUUAUCCACGUAUCAACCAUUGUGAACUAGUCGAUUUUACCUUUGAAUGUAAUGGAAGUUAGUUGUUAUUGUUUUUCAAACCGUUAUUCAGACAAAAACUGAUUGGAUUUGUCGAGGUUUGCAAUAAUCAAAACAAUUUUAAUUAAUUGUUUGACUUCCUGAUUCAAAGUGUAUUUUUUUCCAAUCAAAUUCAUUAACCAUUUAAACCCAAAAUUUUAAUAAAUUUUGAACUGAAUUAAUUUCUUACUCUCUCUUUUGGGAGAAGAAAUAAAUCUUUACGAAACAUAAGAACAACUCUUAGCAACGGAUAUCUUGGUUCUC